Oncorhynchus keta (chum salmon) is the source of this 1143-nucleotide long non-coding RNA. RefSeq lists it as uncharacterized. The record is from RefSeq and is a predicted model, not a curated record. The transcript has 2 exons. NCBI's taxonomy places the organism in Eukaryota, Metazoa, Chordata, Actinopteri, Salmoniformes, Salmonidae.
GUAUAUAUGUCACUCCCUUGGGUUCGUUGUCGUUUCUGUUCCAGUGUCAUGGCUGUGCGUUGUUUGUGUUUCUUGUUUUGUAUUUAGUUGCGUUUAUUGAUUAAAACACAAACUCCCUGAACUUGCUUCCCGACUCUCAGCACACUAGUUACACACACAGUGAGCUACUACAUACUUAAUUGAGGGACGUAUACUGCCCAUGGGAUUUUAAAUACCAUCUCAGGUGAUUUUGACAUUAUGGAAACUUUAUAGUAACAUUCUAGCCCACUAAGAUACAAUUGUUGAGAUAAGGUGAAUGCACCAAUUUGUAAGUCGCUCUGGAUAAGAGCGUCUGCUAAAUGACUUAAAUGUAAUGUAAAUGUAAAUAAAACCAAUGUUAGCUCAGAUCUUAGCUAUCAGCGGAAUAGCUCUGCAAGGACUGCGACUUCUCCAAUCUGUUCCUUCAAUCGCAUCAACCUGGACUCCAGGGAAGACGUAACACAGUAAAUGCAAAUCCGGGACACUCACUUUAAGUAUGAUAUGUCACGAUUUCAUAUGCCAUGAUCCAAAGGCGAGCUGUAUGUACUACACACGAAUCUCCGCCUGGAAGAUCAAGCAACACCUCGCAAGUAAGAAGAGAGGGGGCAGAGUGGCUGUCAAUCACAGGGGAAGCACAGCUCAUUGGCUGCAUGGAUGACAGAAUGGAUCAAUGGGAUACACCCUCACUCUAUGAAUAGCUCGCCAUUGGUCAGGUAGACAAUGACCUGUCAACUCUGUUCAUGACUGUGAUUAGCAGGGCUACUCAUCCCAAAAAAAUGAACAAUAUUGUGAUUGGUCAAUGCUGCUAGAGAAGAGAUUUCUGAGUUUUAGGCUUUGCCCAAAACGCAUGCUUCCCCAGGUUAAAGAAAACCAUAACACUGAGAUGCAACGCUGGUACAAUGUAAAUACAAUGUGAAUACAAUGUUAGUAGAUAAGGAGAAAGUGUAGGAAAUUAGGCUUAAAAGGUCCAACAGGACUUACCUGGGUGAGCUCGGGGAUAUCAUUUUUGUCAAUUCCGAUGGUCUGUAAAAGAAGAUGUUUACAUUUCAGCUGAGCCUCCAUUUACCAUGUUUGUCAUACAGGCUGCGGAUUGAACUUUUCAACAGUAAAGUGUAUUGUCGGGUU